UUGGCAACCGAGGGAGAAUAGACCGGCGAACAAACAACGCCGAAAAAACGAGUGAAAAUACAACAAAAUCAACGUUUGACUCUUCGCUCCGGUUUGUUAAUACUGUGCGAAAUACAUUACGGCAGAAGUGCGGAUGCGAAAACAAGCUCUGUUUUGUCGAGCCGAGUGAGGACACUGAACAUACCUGAGACACGAAGGUGUCACCACUUCGUCCACAACAUCGUCCACGAUCGCAGAGACAUGGUCCAUGAUCGGAGAGACAUUGUUGAGGAUGAGGGAGACAUCGUCCUCGAUCAGAGACAUUGUCCACGAUCGCAGAGACCUUGUCAAAGACGAGAGAGAUGUUGUCCAUGAUCAGAGAUAUUGUCCCAUGCUUCGUAGAGACCUUGCGAUAGAAUCGGCGGAGACGGGGGUCACCGAUUUGACGGCAUUGCCCGCGAUCAUGGAGACAUUGUCCAUGAUCACAGAGACGGCGUCUAUGAUCUCAGAGACAUCGUCCACGAUCACAAAGACAUUGGCCAUGAUCACAGAGACUUUGUCCAUAAUCUCAGAGACAUUGUCUGCGAUCACAGAGACGUAGUCCACGAUCACAGAGAAUCUUUGUACAAUGAAGAAGUUCUUUGAGACCAGGACAGAGGCCUCCAGGUGUCACCACUUCGUCCGCAACAUCGUCCACAAUCGCAGAGACAUGGUCCAUGAUCGGAGAGACAUUGUUGAGGAUGAGGGAGACAUCGUCCUCGAUCAGAGACAUUGUCCACGAUCACAGAGAAUCUUUGUACAAUGAAGAAGUUCUUUUGAGACCAGGACAGAGGCCUUCAGGUAAUUCACAAACACCUUUACAUCAACUGUCCAACACAGAGCACUGACAUUAAACUGCUUAUGUUCAGUAUUCAGUGUAUCAGAAAAGUGUAAAAAUAGAAGUAAUCUGUAGUAUAAAGAUAAUGUAGAAAU
Lates calcarifer (barramundi perch) is the source of this 951-nucleotide long non-coding RNA. RefSeq lists it as uncharacterized. The record is from RefSeq and is a predicted model, not a curated record. Lineage: Eukaryota; Metazoa; Chordata; Actinopteri; Centropomidae. The transcript is spliced from 3 exons.